CCUACGGGAGGCAGCAGUGGGGAAUAUUGCACAAUGGGCGCAAGCCUGAUGCAGCCAUGCCGCGUGUGUGAAGAAGGCCUUCGGGUUGUAAAGCACUUUCAGCGGGGAGGAAGGCGUUAAGGUUAAUAACCUUGUCGAUUGACGUUACCCGCAGAAGAAGCACCGGCUAACUCCGUGCCACCAGCCGCGGUAAUACGGAGGGUGCAAGCGUUAAUCGGAAUUACUGGGCGUAAAGCGCACGCAGGCGGUCUGUCAAGUCGGAUGUGAAAUCCCCGGGCUCAACCUGGGAACUGCAUUCGAAACUGGCAGGCUAGAGUCUUGUAGAGGGGGGUAGAAUUCCAGGUGUAGCGGUGAAAUGCGUAGAGAUCUGGAGGAAUACCGGUGGCGAAGGCGGCCCCCUGGACAAAGACUGACGCUCAGGUGCGAAAGCGUGGGGAGCAAAUAGGAUUAGAUACCCGUGUAGUC
RNAcentral lists this ribosomal RNA (465 nucleotides) under uncultured Klebsiella sp. RNAcentral's name for it is "bacterial SSU rRNA". It matches the Rfam family "Bacterial small subunit ribosomal RNA", at positions 338 to 795 of the family's 1533-position model. The record is from RNAcentral. Lineage: Bacteria; Pseudomonadati; Pseudomonadota; Gammaproteobacteria; Enterobacterales; Enterobacteriaceae.